RNAcentral lists this ribosomal RNA (372 nucleotides) under uncultured organism. RNAcentral's name for it is "partial 16S ribosomal RNA". It matches the Rfam family "Bacterial small subunit ribosomal RNA", at positions 527 to 896 of the family's 1533-position model. The record is from RNAcentral.
GUAGGUGGCAAGCGUUGUCCGGAAUUAUUGGGCGUAAAGCGCGCGCAGGCGGUUCUUUAAGUCUGAUGUGAAAGCCCACGGGCUCAACCGUGGAGGGUCAUUGGAAACUGGAGAACCUGAGUACAGAAGAGGAAAGCGGAAUUCCACGUGUAGCGGUGAAAUGCGUAGAGAUGUGGAGGAACACCAGUGGCGAAGGCGGCUUUCUGGUCUGUAACUGACGCUGAGGCGCGAAAGCGUGGGGAGCAAACAGGAUUAGAUACCCUGGUAGUCCACGCCGUAAACGAUGAGUGCUAAGUGUUAGGGGGUUUCCGCCCCUUAGUGCUGCAGCUAACGCAUUAAGCACUCCGCCUGGGGAGUACGGCCGCAAGGCUG